Molecule: long non-coding RNA, 698 nt
Organism: Amphimedon queenslandica
Lineage: Eukaryota; Metazoa; Porifera; Demospongiae; Haplosclerida; Niphatidae
Exons: 2
Source: RefSeq, a predicted model, not a curated record
UUUUUACCCAAUGUUCAGAAAAUGAAGCACAAUUUACUAAAAUUUUCUAAUUAUAAUACCAUGAUAACUUAUGUUAUCAUUGGAACCAAAUAUGUAAUCUUGGCAGCAAAAAAAAACACCAAACCUACUACACAUCACAUGAUGAUAUCACAUGCACAAUAGUACUUGUUUAAAUCAGGAGUGAGUGCUAGUAACACACAGGACAAGCUGACUGGAUUUGUCAUUUCAGUUUAGAACAGAGAGAGGGAGGCCAAUACUAUCAUAUACUCAGUGAUGACUUCCUUCAAGACUAUCAUCCUUAUUGCAGCUAUAACACUCAUGCUACAUGUAGCUGCAGCCAUUGUCACAAGUGAAGAUGAGAAAAUACAAUACUUGUGCUACAGAGAUCAUGAAUGCAAGAACCGCAAUGGGAAGGUACCAGCACCAAACGAUCACUUUCAAUUUGUCUGCUGCACAACCUUACGCUCUCAAUCCUAUCAAAUACAGCGAGGAGAGAACGUGCCAGGACCUUGUAGGCUGUGUUUUCACGGCCCAGAUCAAGAAGAAUAAACAAGAUAAAACAUAUCAUAGAGAAAGACUUUGUUUUGCAUAUACAUGUACAGUAUAAUUAUAAAAUUUAUAGUAUAACAUUUUCAUCAAUAGUAACAACUUGCUUUAUUUAAUUCGUGUUUUACCAGCAAGGAACUACUUUAACUGAA